Amphiprion ocellaris (clown anemonefish) is the source of this 952-nucleotide long non-coding RNA. RefSeq lists it as uncharacterized. The transcript is spliced from 4 exons. NCBI's taxonomy places the organism in Eukaryota, Metazoa, Chordata, Actinopteri, Pomacentridae. The record is from RefSeq and is a predicted model, not a curated record.
AGCUGGAGCUAGAGCUGGAUUUACUCAGAAAACAGACCAUAAAAGAGGUAUUUAGACACUAAAGUUAACUGCAGAAGUUACGGAAGUAGACGAGAAUCAUCAGACGUCUUUGAACCACGUAGAAAUCGAUAUUCCGGCUGUGUUUUUUUUGAGGGCUCUCUUCAGCGGGACUUUGAUCUCCAUCCAUCUGCCACUGUGUGUUGAUGUCCAUCCACGUCCACAUCUCCAUCACGCUGGGAUCGGCCGUCACCUCGUACCGUCUCAUUGGACAUUCAUUAUAAGGGGGAGGGGGCAGCAGGUCGAACAGAUGAUCACCUGAGCGUGUUACGGAGCUGAUGCUGCUGCUGGACUUCAUCCUGAGUCGGCCGCAGAGAUGCUGAGCAGGUUUUGGAGGCUGGUACGCUGAAACAGUGAUGAAUAACAGGCUUCACUUUCUCUGGGAUCACAAAGCAAUUUUUUGGUUUUUACACAUCAUUUCAUGUCAUGCAAUCUGCAGUCAUCAUGAACAACAAGCAGGACUGGAUGAAGAUGUCAGGUCUUCACAUCUGUACAGGUGUUAUUUUAAGAAAUUUCCAGAAGUUUUAUUGUUGAUAAAUACAAUAAUCCUGAAAUCUUGUGUGCAGUUCAUGAUCUGUAAUCUGUUUUUAGCCUCUCUGACUGAUUAAAAUCACUAUCAGAAGCACAAAGUGUUCUGAAGAAACCUUUAAAAUCAGACUGAUGAUAUUAAAUGUCUCUAAUUUACCAGAAAUGAAAAGUUUUCAUCAUAUUGUUGGUUCAAUUUCUAAACCAAUCAGAUUAAGUAAUAGCCAGUUCUUUCCAAAUCUUGCUUUUUAUGCAUCAAAGUUUUAAAUUUCAAGGAGGAGAAAAGAAUGUUUGAAAAUAUUUUUAAAAUACCAAAUAAGUCUGGAGUUUCCCAUAAAAUUUCAUUGUUCUCUUGUUCCACCCCCCUGAU